Molecule: long non-coding RNA, 1776 nt
Organism: Formica exsecta
Lineage: Eukaryota; Metazoa; Arthropoda; Insecta; Hymenoptera; Formicidae
Exons: 2
Source: RefSeq, a predicted model, not a curated record
UCAUAAACAGAAAAUAUUAACUAAAAAGAUAUGUAUACAAAUACAGCAUGUUUUCACGGGCAAAUUUUGAUUUCUAAAAUUAGAUAACAAAGAAAAAUCAUAUGAACAUGAUUAAUAUACAAAAGCGUUAUUAACGUAUUAAAUAUUUAUUUUUAUUUUUUUUUUAUACAAGGGUAUUUGUAAAGUCACUCAUCACGUUUCACACUGUAGAGUCUGACGUGCCGCUGCCGCUGUCGCAACUUCCUCAUCGCUCCUUUACUCUCGCAAGUAAGAUACAGUCUACAUUAUAUAUCAUAGUUUUUAAAUAUACUAUAAUAUAGUAUAGGAUUGUCCCAGAAUUAAUAGUAGAAAAAAGAGGCAUUUUCUAUACGUCAAAAUAAGAUAAAAUUGUCCUGUGAACAUGUGUCCGAAAACGCAUCUCCUCUGAGUUACAGCCCCCCAAAGUUGCUCGAAAAAACUCAAGUUUAGACAAUAUACAGAAAAUUCGACUUUUUUCGGGAAAUUUUGGGUGCUGUAACUCAGAAGGGGUGCGUUUCCGGACACAUGUUCAUAGGACAAUUUUAUCUUAUUUUGAUCUGUAGAAUAUGCCACUUUUUUCUACUAUCAAUUUUGGGACAUCUUGUAUAUCCAUAUCUUAUAAAUAAUCCUUAUUCUUAUAGAUCCAUCUUAUAAAUUAUUUAAAAUGGCAAGUUCCAUAGAGCAAAUUAACAUACAAUUAGCAAUAGGAAAUACGUACAACGCGGGGCUAAUAAAAUUACACAAACAACACAUAGACGAAAUGAAACAUCAAAGACUACAACUCGAAAAAACAUACGUACAUAAAAUAAAAAAACUGGAGAAACAAUUAGAUAAGUUAUAACUGCCAAAAAAAGGAAAAAUUUCAAGCAGUGCAUUUUAAAAUUAUACAAUUAAAUCGGAUCAUCCGGCAUCUCCAAAAAAAAUAGUGUUUAAUUUAAAAAAAAUAAUUUUCUAUGUAGAUAGAAUAAAAUAUAAAAUAUAUAUGUAUUAAAUAUAUUUCUUACAAGCGAACACAUCAAGAAAGACCCUCCUUAGAAGUCUGGGGCAUUGUUCAAAUAAUGCAAUGAAUAAAGAAUUUUAAAAAAGAUUCGACAACAUAGAAGAUUCUGAUGACAAGAACUCAACCAGUUUAAAUAACGGAAAUUCCGCUCGAUAAGAGAAGAUAGGAAAAUAAUAUCGACGACGGCAUAAAUAGACGAGCCUCCAAGAACCAACUUCAAUGAACAAAUCUAUAAUAAACGCAUUUAUAAUGGACGCAUCACAAUUGUGUAAAUGAUGCGAUGAAUAAAGUAUUUCAAAAAAGAUUGGAAGAUUCUAAUGACGAGAAUUCAACCAGUUUAAAUAAUGAAAAUUCCGCUCGCAUGAUAAGAGAAGAUAGGGAAAUAUAUAAUUUAAAUAUAAUGAAAUAAUGGAAACGUUUUAAAAAAAAAAGAUUUUAUAAUUAUAUAAAAAACUAAUUUUUUUUAAAUUCCAGAUCGACGACGGUACAAAUAGACGAGCCUCCAAGAACCAACUUCAAUGAAUAAAUUUAUAAUAAACACAUCUAUAACGGACAUAUCUAUAAUGGACGUAUCACAAUUGUAUAAAUGAUGCGGUGAAUAAGGAAUUUCAAAAAAGAUUGGACUACAUAGAAGAUUCUGAUGACAAGAACUCAACCAGUUUAAAUAACGAAAAUUCCGCUCGCAUAAUAACAGAAGGUAUGGAAAUAUAUAAUUAAAAUAAUGAAGUAAUUGUAAUACGUCUGAAAAAAAAAAAAAA